UAAGCCACAUGGACAAUUCAUGAAUUGUUUGGUUGAAGCUUAUAGAGCUUGUGAACAGCAGAGCCAGGCCAGAUGGAGCCCGCAUGAUCCUUGUGCUGAUGCUUUAGGUUCUCACCGCCAUGCUCAUCGAAGCCACAAGAGGAAAUGAAUGAAGAUGGUGUAGCAGAAAGGUGUCUUCAUCUGUGAAAUGUGAGCUUUGGACCUGUUUAGGCCCAUGGCUCUUUCCGGUUUGCAGUCUAAGCCCACCAGGUUUGGAUCUUCAGCAGGAGACAGAGAGGAUCACUCAAGGCUCACACUCCUGCCUGGGCAUGUUUGGAGUUUGAGUGCUCAGUCUGAACUAGGAGUCCAGGAGUUAAUCUAAGGCACAAAUGUUUUCAGUGUUCAGUCUAAAAUGCAAGCAGCAUUUUACUGGCAGCCUCUUAAAAGCACAUGACUCAUUCAGAAAUACAACAUUUGGUCGAUGACUAUGUCAGACUUUCAGGUAUCAACUACUCAAGGAAUCCCCAGUUCUUGUUCCUCCACUACAAUAUCCUACAGCUUCUGUUUCUUGCUUUCCAGAGUGUCUCAAUUUUUAUUUAUCAUUAAUAUCACCCAGUUCUCCUAUAAUUUUAGAGUAUCUGGCUGACCCCUUUUAAAACUGCCCUAUGCUGGGGU
Molecule: long non-coding RNA, 654 nt
Organism: Hyaena hyaena (striped hyena)
Lineage: Eukaryota; Metazoa; Chordata; Mammalia; Carnivora; Hyaenidae
Exons: 3
Source: RefSeq, a predicted model, not a curated record